GACGACAGCGUGGUCCACUAAUGGCAAAAGCAAUUAAUUUUAUUUUCUUAAAAAAACAAACAAUAUAUAGAAAUUUGGUAAAUAUAUAACAUAAAAAUAUAAAUUGAUUAAAAUUAAGUAUGUUUUAUUCUUAAUAACUUCCCUGGCACAUGGGAAGUGGCCUAUCUGAGGCCUACUCGAUUAUUUAGUUAGCAUUUAGGCACAAAGACGCAAAUUUAUGAUAGUCGGAUAAAUAUUGAAAUAAGAAGAUGAAAUUACCAAGAAGAAAAAAAAAAAAAAAAGACGCUUUCUUCAGUUUCACUGUGGAAAGACCGCGAAGUGAAGUAUACACAGCGUGGUUUCUGUGGAUGGCCCGCGUGUCUUCAGCAGCAGCAGAAUCCUCUGAGGAACUGGCCUGACUCAUCUGCGUCUGUGACAGAUUUUGAUGUGGGCCGAUCAUGGGUGCGCAUACACAAGAUGUUUAUGACCCGCUCCAGCUAAGCAAAGGUGGAUCUGGACUCAAAUCCUCAUUGCAGGUGAUUUAAAAACCUAAUUUUUUCCUUGAAUAAAAGACUGCUGUUGUUUCUGGAGCUUAUGAUGCAGGCAGACCGGGACACUUGCCCUCAGACCAAAGGAGACGUUGACCUAGAGGGAGAUCGGCAGCAAACUCGCAUGCUAAAGCGGCAUGAAAGUUACAGCCCUCAUAUGGGACAAACAGCAGAAAAGGGCUUCACACCAGGCAACACAUGCAAAAUUGACAAGAGGAUGUGGGGAAAAAAGGGGUUGGACAAGGAUGAAUAAAACAAAUCAUGGUGCUUGACUGGAGGUGAUUUGAAAAAUUCUUUGUCUUCAUUUACGCUUGAGAAUAAUAUAACGUCCCGACAGGAGACCGGGCUAGCGAGGGGCUCCAGUCGCACGCAGGGGAUAAAAAAUUAAUUAAAAGAUGAGAGAAAGAAGAAAGGAUGGAUUGAAAAUAAAUACAGACUGCAAUGCCAAACAGUAGGGUCGUUGUUUCAUUGCGAACGCGGUGAGCCCACUGUAAAAAAUGGAUCAUACCCUGCCUCAGAGAAUUAAACUUAGUUUUUGGGAGUGUUUGUAUUUCUAGAGAAACUUUGUCAGGGGAGAUGAAAGCCACAUCUGCUCCACUUCUUUCCAACUAUACAUACGUGUGAAAACUGUUGGUCUGGCAGGCUAGUAUGGACAAGCAGACCCACCGCCUUGAUGAGAGACAAUGGGCCUGGGCUUAAGCCUAUUAACAGUUGGCAAUGUGGGGCCUUUACCCAGGGCGCUGAGCGGCCCCCACGCCACACCUCGACUGCCUGUUAGAUGAAGCCGUCGCUGGACUGCUGCCGCUCUAAACUGUGAGGUGAUGCUUUCGUGAGCUGAUUCAUUUCCACCCUUCGCUAAGUGGACAGGGGUUUAACUGGAAACACAUUACCUGUCAUGGAAAAGUGUUUUCACGUGCUGUGACACACCGCAGACAUGGUCAGACAGGCAGUGGGGUGUUUGGGGUGUACACUGUGGACAUGUACACUGUGCUGAUAGACCCUGGGUGCUUGCUUUCUGCCUGAUAAGGCAGUUUACACUGAACUUGUGUGGGCUGAGCUGGACGCCGCUUGCGGCGUUACAUUUGUUUGUGUGGUGUACUGAUAUUAUACGACUAUGUAUAUGAAUGCAUUGCAAGUUUAGAAAUGGUAGAUUAGAAGCACCAAAUGAAUUGUUCACUGUUGUAGAUAUGCAGCAUUAGCAUAGUUAGCAUGGGUCAUGUCUGUUAGAAAUUUAACAGAAACAGUAGGCUAAAACUUUUUUUUUUUUACAAGUUUAAAAAUGACUUUUUAAAGUUAGUGAUGUAUGAAACCACGUAUUUGUAAAAUUAAUUAUUAUGUAUUAUUCUUUGACAGAUUGAAGCUGAAUAUAGGGGUAUCAAAACAACUAAAAUUGAGGUAUUUUUAACUUUACAUGCUACAUGCAUACAACAUGAUGCAGUGGUCAAAUAUGGAUAUGCAGGAGUGUAAAUUACUUAUAACUGUACUUCAUUACUAUACUUCUGUAUUAUUUGAAACUGAGUACUUUGUGCUUUUAAUGUCUAAAUGACACUGUAAGGAGUAAAAAGUAUAAAGUACAUAUUUCACAGGUCAUCAUUUAUGAUGUUUGUUUUAUAUUUUUAUAUUCCAGACCUGUACCUAGUCAGGAAAUUGUGAUGAAACCGGUUACUUCAGGAAUUGUGGAUCCAAGUCUCUUGAUUAAUUUUUUUUUAAUUUACACUUAUUUUUGGUUACAUAAAGUACAGUUACUCUGUAUUUUACACUCAUGUACAUGCAUACGUAGACCAAUAUUUAAAAAUUGUACACUGUUCGAAAUGCGCAAGCUAAAUAACUAUAAUCUUUUAGCGCACAAACAUUCAUAGUAAGUCUUUUUUUGUAAUUAAACGUGGUGUAUUUGUUACAAAAGACUGUGAUUGCAAUACUUCAAGACUUGCAUGCAAAUUUGCAUCUAUUUAUGUGUUCUUUUUAAAGCACCAUGGCUAAAGAUAGACCUCUAAAUAAAUUAACUGAUGCCAGUAUUAUCCGGUUGUUGGAUA
Molecule: long non-coding RNA, 2560 nt
Organism: Onychostoma macrolepis
Lineage: Eukaryota; Metazoa; Chordata; Actinopteri; Cypriniformes; Cyprinidae
Exons: 4
Source: RefSeq, a predicted model, not a curated record